CUGUCCUACGGGAGGCAGCAGUAGGGAAUAUUGCUCAAUGGGGGAAACCCUGAAGCAGCAACGCCGCGUGGAGGAUGAAGGUUUUCGGAUUGUAAACUCCUUUUGUUAGAGAAGAUAAUGACGGUAUCUAACGAAUAAGCACCGGCUAACUCCGUGCCAGCAGCCGCGGUAAUACGGAGGGUGCAAGCGUUACUCGGAAUCACUGGGCGUAAAGAGCGCUUAGGCGGGAUUGCACGUCAGCUGUGAAUUCCUAUGGCUUAACCAUAGAACUGCAUUUGAAACUGUUAUUCUAGAGUAUGGGAGAG
RNAcentral lists this ribosomal RNA (305 nucleotides) under uncultured bacterium. Its description in RNAcentral is "bacterial SSU rRNA". It matches the Rfam family "Bacterial small subunit ribosomal RNA", at positions 334 to 656 of the family's 1533-position model. The record is from RNAcentral.